CUACUACAGGUGUGAUAAAUUAUCUAUGCCUUGGUAAUGCUGCAUCAACAGAUUGUGCUGCUUCCAGUAAAUCAUUUGACAAAUUUGACCUCAAAUCAGGUAGGACUACCCGCUGAACUUAAGCAUAUCAAUAAGCGGAGGAAAAGAAACUAACAAGGAUUCCCCUAGUAACUGCGAGUGAAGCGGGAAAAGCUCAAAUUUGAAAUCUGGCAGUUCUCUUGACUGUCCGAGUUGUAAUCUAGAGAAGUGUUACCUGUGCUGGACCGUGUACAAGUCUUCUGGAAUGGAGCAUCAUAGAGGGUGAGAAUCCCGUCUUUGACAUGGACUACCAGUGCGCUGUGGUGCGCUCUCAAAGAGUCGAGUUGUUUGGGAAUGCAGCUCAAAAUGGGUGGUAAAUGCCAUCUAAAGCUAAAUAUUGGCGAGAGACCGAUAGCGAACAAGUACCGUGAGGGAAAGAUGAAAAGAACUUUGGAAAGAGAGUUAAACAGUACGUGAAAUUGCUGAAAGGGAAACGCUUGAAGUCAGUCACGUUGGCUAGAAAUCAGCCUUGCUUUUGCUUGGUGUACUUUCUGGUUUGACGGGUCAGCAUCGAUUUCUUUGACCAUUGGAUAAAGUCUUUGGGAAUGUGGCAUCUUUGGAUGUGUUAUAGCCCAUUGUCGCAUACAAUGGUUGGGAUCGAGGAACUCAGCACGCCGCAAGGCCGGGUUUAGACCACGUUCGUGCUUAGGAUGCUGGCAUAAUGGCUUUAAUCGACCCGUCUUGAAACACGGACCAAGGAGUCUAACAUGCCUGCGAGUGUUUGGGUGGAAAACCCAUGCGCGCAAUGAAAGUGAAAGUUGAGAUCCCUGUAAGAGGGGAGCAUUGACGCCCGGACCAGACCUUUUGUGACGGAUCCGCGGUAGAGCAUGUAUGUUGGGACCCGAAAGAUGGUGAACUAUGCCUGAAUAGGGUGAAGCCAGAGGAAACUCUGGUGGAGGCUCGUAGCGAUUCUGACGUGCAAAUCGAUCGUCAAAUUUGGGUAUAGGGGCGAAAGACUAAUCGAACCAUCUAGUAGCUGGUUCCUGCCGA
This 1068-nucleotide ribosomal RNA is filed under the name Inocybe curvipes. RNAcentral describes it as "eukaryotic LSU rRNA". It matches the Rfam family "Eukaryotic large subunit ribosomal RNA", at positions 1 to 964 of the family's 3401-position model. The record is from RNAcentral. Lineage: Eukaryota; Fungi; Basidiomycota; Agaricomycetes; Agaricales; Inocybaceae.